AGAGUUUGAUCCUGGCUCAGAAUCAAUGCUGGCGGCGUGCCUAACACAUGCAAGUCGAACGCGAAAGGGGAGCAAUCCCUGAUUAGAGUGGCAAACGGGUGAGUAACACGUGGGUGACCUGCCUUCGAGUGGGGGAUAACCUUCCGAAAGGAGGGCUAAUACCGCAUGACGUACCGUGUUUGGAUACACGGAUAUCAAAGCCGGGGAUCGCAAGACCUGGCGCUUGGUGAGGGGCCCGCGUCCGAUUAGCUAGUUGGUGAGGUAACGGCUCACCAAGGCUCCGAUCGGUAUCCGGCCUGAGAGGGCGGACGGACACACUGGAACUGAGACACGGUCCAGACUCCUACGGGAGGCAGCAGUGGGGAAUUGUUCGCAAUGGGCGAAAGCCUGACGACGCAACGCCGCGUGGAGGAUGAAGAAUUUCGGUUCGUAAACUCCUUUC
This 442-nucleotide ribosomal RNA is filed under the name uncultured bacterium. Its description in RNAcentral is "bacterial SSU rRNA". It matches the Rfam family "Bacterial small subunit ribosomal RNA", at positions 8 to 437 of the family's 1533-position model. The record is from RNAcentral.